AGACACUUUCACUUUCUUUUCACACUAAAAUUGGAACAAUACAGAGAAGAUUAGCAUUGCCCCUGCUCAAGGAUGACACAAAUUUGUGAAGCGUUCUGUAUUUUU
Molecule: small nuclear RNA, 105 nt
Organism: Bos taurus (domestic cattle)
Lineage: Eukaryota; Metazoa; Chordata; Mammalia; Artiodactyla; Bovidae
Source: Ensembl